GAUGGUUCGAUUAGUCUUUCGCCCCUAUACCCAGUUCAUACGAUCGAUUUGCACGUCAGAAUCGCUACGGACCUCCAUCAGGGUUUCCCCUGACUUCAUCCUGACCAGGCAUAGUUCACCAUCUUUCGGGUCCCAGCGUGUAAGCUCUUGGUGCGCCGCAACUUGCAAUAAGUAUGCGACGCCCCGGGAAUGCGAGGUAACAUAAAUAACGUUACCCAUCUUCCCUUUAUAAAAUAUAAUUAUAAAAAUUAUAUAUAUAUAUUUACUUUCAUUACGCCUUUAGGUUUAAUAUAAAUACCCAAUGACUUGCGCACAUGCUAGAUG
This 324-nucleotide ribosomal RNA is filed under the name Blackburnia dyscolea. Its description in RNAcentral is "partial 28S ribosomal RNA". The record is from RNAcentral. Lineage: Eukaryota; Metazoa; Arthropoda; Insecta; Coleoptera; Carabidae.